RNAcentral lists this ribosomal RNA (1239 nucleotides) under metagenome. RNAcentral's name for it is "bacterial LSU rRNA". It matches the Rfam family "Bacterial large subunit ribosomal RNA", at positions 1564 to 2813 of the family's 2925-position model. The record is from RNAcentral.
UGAGUACGAGAUGCUACGGCAUCGAAGCAGUCUAUGUCAUACUUCCAAGAAAAGCUUGCACUGUCAUAAACAAAGAAUGCCUGUACCAUAACCGACACAGGUGGGUAGGUAGAGUAUACUAAGGGGCGCGAGAUAACUCUCUCUAAGGAACUCGGCAAAAUGACUCCGUAACUUCGGGAGAAGGAGUGCCUUAUUUCUAAGGUUGCAAUAACAAGAUCCAAGCAACUGUUUACCAAAAACACAGGUCUCCGCUAAGUCGUAAGACGAUGUAUGGGGGCUGACGCCUGCCCAGUGCCAGAAGGUUAAAGAAGUUGGUUAGCAUUAGCGAAGCUGAUAACUGAAGCCCUGGUGAACGGCGGCCGUAACAAUAACGGUCCUAAGGUAGCGAAAUUCCUUGUCGGGUAAGUUCCGACCCGCACGAAAGGCGUAAUGAUUUGGAUACUGUCUCGGAGAGGGGCUCGGUGAAAUAGACUUGUCUGUGAAGAUGCGGACUACCUGCACCUGGACAGAAAGACCCUAUGAAGCUUUACUGUAACUUGAGAUUGAAAUUGGACUUUGUUUGCGCAGUAUAGGUGGGAGGCGUUGAGAAUAAUCUUGCGGGAUUGUUGGAGCCAUCAGUGAGAUACCACUCUUGUAAUGUUAGAUUUCUAACUUUGUAUCAUUAUCUGGUCAAAGAACAGUUUCAGGCGGGCAGUUUGACUGGGGCGGUCGCCUCCCAAAGGGUAACGGAGGCGCACAAAGGUUUCCUCUGAACGGGUAGAAAUCGUAUCUAGAGUGUAAAGGCAUAAGGAAGCUUGACUGUGAGACCUACAAGUCGAGCAGGGACGAAAGUCGGUCUUAGUGAUCUGACGGUGCUGAGUGGAAAGGCCGUCACUCAACGGAUAAAAGUUACUCUAGGAUAACAGGCUGAUCUCCCCCAAGAGUUCACAUCGACGGGGAGGUUUGGCACCUCGAUGUCGGCUCAUCGCAUCCUGGGGCGGUAGUCCGUCCCAAGGGUUGGGCUGUUCGCCCAUGAAAGCGGUACGCGAGCUGGGUUCAGAACGUCGUGAGACAGUUCGGUCCAUAUCCGGUGUAGGCGUUAGAAUAUUGAGAGGAGCCUUCUCUAGUACGAGAGGACCGAGAAGGACAUACCUCUGGUGUACCAGUUAUCGUGCCAACGGUAAACGCUGGGUAGCUAUGUAUGGAGUGGAUAACCGCUGAAAGCAUCUAAGUGGGAAGCCCACCUCAAGAUAAGUAUUC